This 1372-nucleotide long non-coding RNA is filed under the name Sinocyclocheilus grahami. RNAcentral describes it as "lncRNA (ENSSGRG00000053479.1)". Lineage: Eukaryota; Metazoa; Chordata; Actinopteri; Cypriniformes; Cyprinidae. The record is from RNAcentral.
CAACAUUGAUAAUAAUCAGAAAUGUUUCUUGAGCAGCAAAUCAGCAUAUUAUUAUGAUUUCUGAAGAUCGUGUGACACUGAAGACUGGAGGAAUGAUGCUGAAAAUACAGCUUUGAUCACAGAAAUAAAAUACAGUUUACUAUAUAUUCACAUAGAAAACAGUUCUUUUAAAUUGUAAUAAUAUUUCAAAUUUUUUACCGUAUUUAUGAUCAAAUAAAUGCAGCCUUGCUCAGCAUUCUUUUAAAAACAUACUGUUUUUUUAACACAAUGGUAUAACUAUGGCAACACAAAUGUGACAUGCAAUGGUGCUUUUAUGUUACCAAAAAGGUUUAAUCUCUUAUAUAAAUAGAUUGCAUAAUUGCUAUUCUAUUGUGUUGUUUUCCUAACGCAUUAUUGUGUUUUAUAGUAGCAGCUCUUUUGAGUGGGUGUCAGAUUUCAUAUCGUCACUGUUGCAUGGCAACCUUUAAAAACUCAAGCUGUCACUAACAGCACUGAAGCCUCUUCAUUCACUAUUCAAUGGAAAAGCAAAUGUACCAUUAUGCAGAAAAAUGUCUGCCUCGAAAAAAGAAGGUUUGGGAGUCUUUCCAUUCGAACACCUUCAGGAUCUUUGAUGAGACGUUGCCAGAGCGUCUCGAUCCGGUCCGUGUCGAUCGGAACCAUAAAUAUCCUGCAAGAGACCCACGAGAGUCUGAGACCUGCAACGUCCCACAUCCUCACAACGCCAGAUUCAUCAGAACUAAUGUCAGAUUCCUUAAUGAGCCCAUCGCUCAUAUGGAGACGAGACGUACUGAGACAGAACAGUUUAACUGGUGGUCAAGCAGUCCUAAAGAAGAUCUUCCCGUGAAAGCACCUUACAGUAAAUCCAGCACUCAGAGAAGUGAUUUCCAGGCGAUCAGAGGCGCUCCAGUCAGAGAACGAGAGACCAACAGACCCGCAGCCACUGGAAUCGUUCCUGCUCUAAGUUCCCUUGAGCAAUCAGAAAAACUCCAAGAUUUUCAUAAACCUGAAUGAUUGUUGAAGAUUACACAAUCAGCCCUACAUAGGAAAGCGUCACAGAGGGUUGGUGUGGAGAGACGGGGAGGCGACGGGGCCAGGCACAUUCCAGAGCACAGAGGGGUUGCGUUUGCCCUCAGCAGGGACGGCCGACCUGUUGAACUGCUCUCAGCUGGCCUCGCUUUCAGCUCAACAGAUGUGGGAGAGAAAAGAGGCCCGUCCCAGCAGAGAGACCCCAGAGAUCAGCGUUCCCAGAGACGGAGGGGAAUCCCUUUCGUUCGGGUGGGACAGCGAACUGAACUCAUAAGAGCAUGUCCAGAUCAUAUUUCACCUCAAAACCAAAAGGAAAAAAUUUGGUUAUUUUCAUGAAGCACGUAUU